RNAcentral lists this ribosomal RNA (372 nucleotides) under uncultured bacterium. Its description in RNAcentral is "bacterial SSU rRNA". It matches the Rfam family "Bacterial small subunit ribosomal RNA", at positions 30 to 402 of the family's 1533-position model. The record is from RNAcentral.
AUUGAACGCUGGCGGCAUGCUUUACACAUGCAAGUCGAACGGCAGCACGGGGGCAACCCUGGUGGCGAGUGGCGAACGGGUGAGUAACGCAUCGGAACGUGCCCAGUAGUGGGGGAUAACACAUCGAAAGAUGUGCUAAUACCGCAUACGCACUGAGGUGGAAAGCGGGGGAUCGCAAGACCUCGCGCUAUUGGAGCGGCCGAUGUCCGAUUAGCUAGUUGGUAGGGUAAAGGCCUACCAAGGCGACGAUCGGUAGCUGGUCUGAGAGGAUGAUCAGCCACACUGGGACUGAGACACGGCCCAGACUCCUACGGGAGGCAGCAGUGGGGAAUUUUGGACAAUGGGCGCAAGCCUGAUCCAGCCAUGCCGCGU